GAGGGUAUAGCUCAGAGGUAGACCGCGUGCUUAGCAUGCACCAGGUCCUGGGUUCAAUCCCCAGUACCUCCU
Molecule: transfer RNA, 72 nt
Filed under: Camelus dromedarius (Arabian camel)
Lineage: Eukaryota; Metazoa; Chordata; Mammalia; Artiodactyla; Camelidae
Also listed under: 1 other name
Rfam family: tRNA
About the family: Transfer RNA (tRNA) molecules are approximately 80 nucleotides in length. Their secondary structure includes four short double-helical elements and three loops (D, anti-codon, and T loops). Further hydrogen bonds mediate the characteristic L-shaped molecular structure. tRNAs have two regions of fundamental functional importance: the anti-codon, which is responsible for specific mRNA codon recognition, and the 3' end, to which the tRNAs corresponding amino acid is attached (by aminoacyl-tRNA synthetases). tRNAs cope with the degeneracy of the genetic code in two manners: having more than one tRNA (with a specific anti-codon) for a particular amino acid; and 'wobble' base-pairing, i.e. permitting non-standard base-pairing at the 3rd anti-codon position.
Source: Rfam by way of RNAcentral